GUGAGGGGGUGACUAGUGACAGAGUGAGGGGGUGACUAGUGACACAGUGAGGGAGGGGGUGACUAGUGACACAGUGAGGGAGGGGGUGACUUGUGACAGAAGGAGGGAGGGAGUAGUGACAGAGGGAGGUGGUGACUAGUGACAGAGUGAGGGAGGGAAGAGUGUGACUAGUGACAGUCACCACCCCCUCCCUCACUCUGUCACUGUGUCACCCCCUUCCUCACUCUGUCACUAGUCACCCUCUCUCUCACUCUGUCACUAGUCACCCUGUCCCUCAC
Molecule: small RNA, 278 nt
Filed under: Pelobates cultripes (western spadefoot toad)
Lineage: Eukaryota; Metazoa; Chordata; Amphibia; Anura; Pelobatidae
Source: RNAcentral